RNAcentral lists this ribosomal RNA (408 nucleotides) under bacterium AnM-A3. RNAcentral describes it as "SSU rRNA". It matches the Rfam family "Bacterial small subunit ribosomal RNA", at positions 85 to 488 of the family's 1533-position model. The record is from RNAcentral.
CGGGUGGCGAGUGGCGGACGGGUGAGGAAUACAUCGGAAUCUACUCUGUCGUGGGGGAUAACGUAGGGAAACUUACGCUAAUACCGCAUACGACCUACGGGUGAAAGCAGGGGACCUUCGGGCCUUGCGCGAUUGAAUGAGCCGAUGUCGGAUUAGCUAGUUGGCGGGGUAAAGGCCCACCAAGGCGACGAUCCGUAGCUGGUCUGAGAGGAUGAUCAGCCACACUGGAACUGAGACACGGUCCAGACUCCUACGGGAGGCAGCAGUGGGGAAUAUUGGACAAUGGGCGCAAGCCUGAUCCAGCCAUACCGCGUGGGUGAAGAAGGCCUUCGGGUUGUAAAGCCCUUUUGUUGGGAAAGAAAUCCAGCCGGCUAAUAGGCCGGUUGGGAUGACGGUACCCAAAGGUAA